UUGAACGCUGGCGGCAUGCUUUACACAUGCAAGUCGAACGGCAGCGCGGGCUUCGGCCUGGCGGCGAGUGGCGAACGGGUGAGUAAUACAUCGGAACGUGCCCAGUAGUGGGGGAUAGCUCGGCGAAAGCCGGAUUAAUACCGCAUACGACCUGAGGGUGAAGGCGGGGGAUCUUCGGACCUCGCGCUCUUGGAGCGGCCGAUGGCAGAUUAGCUAGUUGGUGGGGUAAAGGCCUACCAAGGCGACGAUCUGUAGCUGGUCUGAGAGGACGACCAGCCACACUGGGACUGAGACACGGCCCAGACUCCUACGGGAGGCAGCAGUGGGGAAUUUUGGACAAUGGGCGAAAGCCUGAUCCAGCAAUGCCGCGUGUGUGAUGAAGGCCUUCGGGUUGUAAAGCACUUUUGGCGGGAACGAAAAGGACUGUGCCAAUACCACGGUUCGAUGACGGUACCCGCAGAAUAAGCACCGGCUAACUACGUG
This 483-nucleotide ribosomal RNA is filed under the name uncultured bacterium. Its description in RNAcentral is "partial 16S ribosomal RNA". It matches the Rfam family "Bacterial small subunit ribosomal RNA", at positions 29 to 507 of the family's 1533-position model. The record is from RNAcentral.